UACUCGAGUGGCGAAAGGGCGAGGAAUACAUGGGCAACGUGCCUUCUGCACGAGGAUAACUGCGGGAAGCUGCAGUUAAUACUCGAUAAGACCACAGCACCUUCGGGUGCAGGGGUCAAAGGUGGGGACCUUCGGGCCUACCGGCAUUAGAGCGACCCAUGUCCUAUCAGCUUGUUGGUGAGGUAACGGCUCACCAAGGCGACGACGGGUACCGGGACUGAGAGGUUGACCCGGCGCAUCGGGACUGAGACACUGCCCGGACUCCUACGGGAGGCUGCAGUAACGAAUAUUCCGCAAUGGGCGAAAGCCUGACGGAGCGACGCCGCGUGUGGGAGGAAGCCCUUCGGGGUGUAAACCACUGUCAGGGAUUACCAAGCAAAGUUGGCGAAUAGCCUUCUGCGUUGAGGCGUCCCAGAGGAAGCCACGGCUAACUUCGUGCCAGCAGCCGCGGUAAUACGAAGGUGGCGAGCGUUGUUCGGAAUCACUGGGCUUAAAGGGCACGCAGGCGGACUGUCAAGCGUCUUGUGAAAGCCCCCGGCUUAACCGGGGAAUUGCUGGGCGAACUGGCAGUCUUGAGGCAGGUAAGGGCGAGCGGAACUCUUGGUGGAGCGGUGGAAUGCGUAGAUAUCAAGAGGAACGCCGGAGGCGAAAGCGGCUCGCUGGGCCUGACCUGACGCUGAGGUGCGAAAGCCAGGGGAGCGAACGGGAUUAGAUACCCCGGUAGUCCUGGCCAUAAACGAUGUCCACUAGAUCGGUGAACUUCUGACAGUGCGCCGGUCGAAACAAAAGCGUUAAGUGGACCGCCUGGGGAGUACGGUCGCAAGGCUAAAACUCAAAGGAAUUGACGGGGGCUCACACAAGCGGUGGAGCAUGUUGCUUAAUUCGAUGCAACGCGAAGAACCUUAUCCUGGACUUGACAUGUUAGGAUGCCUCCCUGGAAACAGGGUUGGUUGCCCUUCGGGGUGAAACUUUCACAGGUGCUGCAUGGCUGUCGUCAGCUCGUGUCGUGAGAUGUUGGGUUAAGUCCCGUAACGAGCGAAACCCUUGUCGUUAGUUGCCAGCGCGUAAUGGCGGGGACUCUAGCGAGACUGCCGGUGUUAAACCGGAGGAAGGUGGGGAUGACGUCAAGUCCUCAUGGCACUUUAUGUCCAGGGCUGCAAACGUGCUA
Molecule: ribosomal RNA, 1168 nt
Filed under: uncultured organism
Description: bacterial SSU rRNA
Rfam family: Bacterial small subunit ribosomal RNA
Source: RNAcentral